GUUGAUAAAAAGAGAAUGACUCACAUUGCAGUUUUACGAGCAGAGUAUUUUUUUUUUUUUUUUUUUUUUUUUUUUUUUUUUGUAUAGGAAUCCUUCCAGUUUAUCGACCCAAAUAAGAUUUGGCUUAAUCGGUCUUUGGGUUUUUAACAAGAAGUUGCAAUGCAAGGGGAUGAUCCACGGAUCAUGAAGACAAGAUUGAGACAAUGGGCACAAGUUGUUGCUUGUUCGUUACGUCAAUCAUCAUCGUCACCGCUAUCAUCAUCCCUGUGA
This 270-nucleotide long non-coding RNA is filed under the name Helianthus annuus (common sunflower). RNAcentral describes it as "hypothetical non coding rna". The record is from RNAcentral. Lineage: Eukaryota; Viridiplantae; Streptophyta; Magnoliopsida; Asterales; Asteraceae.